This 96-nucleotide transfer RNA is filed under the name Afipia carboxidovorans OM5. RNAcentral's name for it is "tRNA-SeC (TCA) (tRNA-SeC-TCA-2-1)". The record is from RNAcentral. Lineage: Bacteria; Pseudomonadati; Pseudomonadota; Alphaproteobacteria; Hyphomicrobiales; Nitrobacteraceae. RNAcentral also lists the same sequence under 1 other name.
GAAAGUGUCGGGGGUCCUGGUGGCCCUCCCGGUCUUCAGAAUAUGUGAGACCGAGCAACUCGGUCUCGCAGGCUCGAGUCCUGUCCGCUUCCGCCA